Molecule: small RNA, 453 nt
Filed under: Oryza sativa Japonica Group (Japanese rice)
Lineage: Eukaryota; Viridiplantae; Streptophyta; Magnoliopsida; Poales; Poaceae
Description: sRNA Os06g0579400
Source: RNAcentral
CGGGCCCGGUUUUCCGUAUAAACUGGGUCAAUUCUCUUCUUCUAAAUAUAAAAGUGGAACAAAGCUCCGCCUUAGGGUUCAUAAAAAAAAAGAGGUACAGCGUGGUCGAGCUACUAGCCUGGCGUGCGUCGCCGUCGCUCGCACCGUGCCCCCACCCGCCGCCCGCUGAGCCUGCCCCGAAGCCACGUUGAGGCCGCCGCACUUUCGCCCGGGCGCCGCCCGCCGUGCUUGCGCCGGCCACCGCACCACCCUGCACCCACCGUCGGCCGCAGCGGCGCCUUGUCCCGCCUGGCACGCCCGCCGCCACGCCGCCAUGCGCUGGCCACCAACCGUGCAUGGCAGGAGAAAUCAACGCGCUGGCCACGGCGGCGUUGGUGUCCUGAACCCCCGGACAUCAUACACAACUGCCGAGCGAAGCGAAGACGAUGGGAGGGAAAAAGAAGAAGAAACGGC